RNAcentral lists this ribosomal RNA (431 nucleotides) under uncultured bacterium. RNAcentral describes it as "partial 16S ribosomal RNA". It matches the Rfam family "Bacterial small subunit ribosomal RNA", at positions 29 to 507 of the family's 1533-position model. The record is from RNAcentral.
AACGAACGCUGGCGGCAUGCCUAACACAUGCAAGUCGAACGAGACCUUCGGGUCUAGUGGCGCACGGGUGCGUAACGCGUGGGAACCUGCCCUUAGGUUCGGAAUAACUCCCCGAAAGGGGUGCUAAUACCAUAAUGUCUUCGGACCAAAGAUUUAUCGCCUUUGGAUGGGCCCGCGUUGGAUUAGCUAGUUGGUAGGGUAAAAGCCUACCAAGGCGACGAUCCAUAGCUGGUCUGAGAGGAUGAUCAGCCACACUGGGACUGAGACACGGCCCAGACUCCUACGGGAGGCAGCAGUGGGGAAUAUUGGACAAUGGGCGAAAGCCUGAUCCAGCAAUGCCGCGUGAGUGAUGAAGGCCUUAGGGUUGUAAAGCUCUUUUACCCGGGAUGAUAAUGACAGUACCGGGAGAAUAAGCUCCGGCUAACUCCGUG